UUGGAGGGCAAGUCUGGUGCCAGCAGCCGCGGUAAUUCCAGCUCCAAUAGCGUAUAUUAAAGUUGUUGCAGUUAAAAAGCUCGUAGUUGAAUUUCGGGGUUAGUAGGUUGGUCACGCCUCUGGUAUGUACUGGUCUCACUGAUUCCUCCUUCCUGAUGAGCCGUAAUGCCAUUAAUUUGGUGUUGCGGGGAAUUUGGACUGUUACUUUGAAAAAAUUAGAGUGUUUAAAGCAAGCUAACGCUUGAAUGCAUUAGCAUGGAAUAAUGAAAUAGGACGUUCGAUCCUAUUUUGUUGGUUUCUAGGAUUGACGUAAUGAUUAAUAGGGAUAGUUGGGGGCAUUGGUAUUCAAUUGUCAGAGGUGAAAUUCUUGGAUUCAUUGAAGACUAACUACUGCGAAAGCAUUUGCCAAGGAUGUUUUCAUUAAUCAAGAACGAAAGUUAGGGGAUCGAAGACGAUCAGAUACCGUCGUAGUCUUAACCACAAACUAUGCCGACUAGGGGUCGGAUGAUGUUAAUUUUUUAAUGACUCAUUCGGCGCCUUACGGGAAACCAAAGUGUUUGGGUUC
Molecule: ribosomal RNA, 565 nt
Filed under: uncultured Glomeromycotina
Lineage: Eukaryota; Fungi; Glomeromycota
Description: SSU rRNA
Rfam family: Eukaryotic small subunit ribosomal RNA
Source: RNAcentral